UACCAGCUCUCCGAGUGGUAGGGAUGAUUAUUGGGCUUAAAGCGUCCGUAGCCGGCUUAGCAAGUCUCCUGUUAAAUUCAGCGACCUAAUCGUUGAGCCGCGGGAGAUACUACUAGGCUAGGAGGCGGGAGAGGUCAACGGUGCUUCCGGGGUAGGGGUGAAAUCCUAUAAUCCCGGGAGGACCACCAGUGGCGAAGGCUGUUGACUAGAACGCGCUCGACGGUGAGGGACGAAAGCUGGGGGAGCGAACCGGAUUAGAUACCCGGGUAGUCCUAGCUGUAAACGAUGCGAGCUAGGUGUUGGGGUGGCUACGUGCCACUUCAGUGCCGCAGGGAAGCCAUUAAGCUCGCCGCCUGGGGAUACGGCCGCAAGGCUGAAACUUAAAGGAAUUGGCGGGGAGCACCACAAGGCGUGAAGCUUGCGGUUC
RNAcentral lists this ribosomal RNA (427 nucleotides) under uncultured archaeon. RNAcentral describes it as "bacterial SSU rRNA". It matches the Rfam family "Archaeal small subunit ribosomal RNA", at positions 474 to 903 of the family's 1478-position model. The record is from RNAcentral.